GAUGAAGAACGUAGCGAAAUGCGAUAAGUAGUGUGAAUUGCAGAAUUCCGUGAAUCAUCGAAUCUUUGAACGCACAUUGCGCCUUCUGGUAUUCCGGAAGGCAUGCCUGUUCGAGAGUCAUUAACAACCGUUUCGAUCCCUUUCUUUCAGAAAUUACAAAGAGGAAAAGGGUUUGGUUAUGGUGGAGGAGGGAAAGGGAGCGUUUAGCCUGUAAAAAAAGAGGCUGUGUUCCGCCACCCCCCCAAAAUUGUACAGGCGGUCGUGUGCGCCCACGCAUCGAGGUGUUGUAAAAGCUGCCACGGCACUUUUCACCUGUGCAGUGCGAGAUUGGCCAGCCGGUUUAAAAACCCCUCCAAACAAUCAAAGGUUGACCUCGGAUCAGGUAGGGAUACCCGCUGAACUUAAGCAUAUCAAUAAGCGGAGGA
Molecule: unclassified non-coding RNA, 425 nt
Filed under: soil metagenome
Description: partial contains 5.8S ribosomal RNA, internal transcribed spacer 2, and large subunit ribosomal RNA
Rfam family: 5.8S ribosomal RNA (bases 1-120)
Source: RNAcentral